This is a long non-coding RNA of Platichthys flesus (European flounder), 703 nucleotides long. RefSeq lists it as uncharacterized. The transcript is spliced from 3 exons. NCBI's taxonomy places the organism in Eukaryota, Metazoa, Chordata, Actinopteri, Pleuronectiformes, Pleuronectidae. The record is from RefSeq and is a predicted model, not a curated record.
GUCCAGGUGAGUUGACGCAGGUGCAAAGAAGAAGAAGCAGUGGCACCUGACUGAAGAAGAUGCUGAGAAAAACAAACAGAACACAACAGUUGCGUUAAAGUCGUGUGUCUGUUCAGUUACAGCCGAGGAUCAGAGGACGUCAAGGCUUCAGACCAGCAGCUCACAAACCAGUGGAGGACGUCCCAGUGACACUGAUGCUUCCCCCCCACUGUCUUCCAUUGACUGUGAUGAGCAGAGCUGGUAACACCGUGCUGGGAAUUCUCAUGAACAGUCAUAACACAGGGACCCACACAAAGCCGGCAUCAUCCUCGCGAGCGGCGCCGGUGACAGCUGCAGAGAUGUGACACAGAAGAUGCUCUAUCUGAGGAACAAGGUGAGAGAGCGGCGGUGGAUUAGAGGGCGGCUAUCUCGCUCGCCCAGGGCCCUGUGAAACCCAGGAGGCAGCUGGCACGAGUCUCCACGCCGCCCACGACCCCGCGCCUCCUCUCAGCGAGGAGCAGGCGCAUUUACAACCCUGUUUCCAUCCGGACUCCUCCUGCUCUCCGGCGGGGUAAGACCUUGAGGGGUCAGAGGUCAACGUAUCCUCCCCACCCGCCAGGCGCACGCACUCCGACGGCUCCGGGGCCGAGGGCUUUGUGUUCCCACUGGGACGCGGCAACCUUUGAACUGGGCAGCGAGAGGAGGUGAGGGAGGAGGUGAGGGA